Mytilus californianus (California mussel) is the source of this 2548-nucleotide RNA transcript. RefSeq lists it as uncharacterized. The transcript has 10 exons. NCBI's taxonomy places the organism in Eukaryota, Metazoa, Mollusca, Bivalvia, Mytilida, Mytilidae. The record is from RefSeq and is a predicted model, not a curated record.
UCUAAGAAUGUCAUACCCUAUUUAAUAACAAUAGAAACGAUUGUCAGCUUUCCAAUAUUUAAACCUGUUAAAAAGAGGCGAAAUAUACAAAAAGGGACAUUCAAAUUCACAAGUCGAAAACUAGCUUAUAUCCUGUUUACUUGAAAUGAAUGGCAUCCCGAUACUACACACUUGGCGUGAAGUCUGAUAGAAAUCAAUGUUAACUUCAAAGAUCAUAUCACGGAUUUGUAUCGAAGGUAACAGAAUUCAAUAGACUUGCUCAGUUUCUUCUGACGACAUUGAAGAGAAGUGGUGCAAAAGGAAACAAGAAUUACGUGAAUGUCAGCAAGAGUGAACUUCAACGUAUGUUAACAAUUCUGAACUCAAUCGUCACAGAUUCUGGAACAUAUUAUUUUCAAAGUUAGAAAGGUGCUAAUGGAGAUUCCAGUAGCAGUUAAAGCAAUGUUUACUUCAAAGAGCAAACCACGGAUUUAUAUCGAAGGUACCACGUUUCAGUUGAGGUGCACAGUUUAUUCUGAUAACAUUGAAGUGAAGUGGUACAAAGGGAAUCAAGAAUUAUAUGAUUGUCAGAAUAUAUUCAUAACCAAGAGUGGAAAUCAACGUUUUUUAACAAUUCUAAAACUCAACCGUCACAGAUUCCGGAACAUAAUAUGUUAAAGCUGAAAAGGUGCAAAUAGACAUCCAAGUAACAGUAAAAGGAAUACCAGAUGUGAUAAAACAGAUGUCGCUAAAUGACAAAGAAAAUGUUAAUAAGGCAUAAAAGCGUGGUACAACUAAACGAUAUAUCAUAAGAGUAAUGGUCGUGGGAGAAAAUUCAACUGGAAAGACUUGCCUAUGUAGACGAUUGAUGAAUAAAGAGACAAUAGAUGAUGUUGGAAGCAAAAAUGUGAUCAAUAUUGAAAGAAGGCAAUGUCAGAUUGACGUAAAAACGGGUGAAUGGCAUUUUUCUACACCCGUCGAUGAAAACAUUUCCUGUUGGUCUGAUCACAUAGAAAAAUAUGGAGACUGUGGAUUUUGGGAUUUUGCCGGACGAAAAGAAUUCUAUGCAAUACAUCAAACCUUUCUAAGUACAAAUGCUGUCUACCUCUUGGUUAUAGAUAUAUCCAAUUUUUUCCCAAAGAAAACAUACGCGGGCACUGAAAAAGAAUUCGGUAGCAUUGAAGACUACAUCUUCUUUUGGCUCAAGAACAUAAAUUGUUAUAGCACAGACACACGUAUUAUAAUAGUUGCUAAAGGGAUCGACAAAAUUUCAUUGCAUGAAAUUGAAGAAAAAAAGAAAAUGAUUCAAGAAUGUCUGGGUGCAAUUCCUUAUGUCCAGAGAACAAUACAUUGCUUGUCAAAUACGCUUCCAUCUUAUAAAAAGCAAGACUUUGAAAGUCUACGAAGAUAUAUUUACCGGAAUGCACAGGCAUUAACAUAUUGGGGAGUCAAUCUGCCAACGAGAUGGAUAGUUCUUGAAAAAAAAUUUCAAAUACAAAAAAGUAAAAAAAUCAUUUCGUACACUGAAGCUAUAAAUUUAGCAACGUGUUGUUCAUUACCGGAUGUCACAGCUUCAACUUCUGAAUUAGACUCUUUUCUAAGGUAUGAGCACGAUAUUGGUAACAUCGUAUUUUUUUAAGGAUUUGCAAAAAAGCUUUAUUGUGUUAGAUCCUGAAUGGUUGAUUAACGUAUUUCAAUAUUUUGUCAUGCAUCAUUAUAAAAAUGAGUCUUCAGGUCUGACGGAAUGCACAGUAUAAGCGGAAACGAACAAAUUAUGAGAUAACCUGACUGACAAAUCACUAGGAAAAGGUUCGAAUCUGAGAUUGACACAAGAGGAAGAUGUUUUACAAAUAGUGGAAAACUUUGACUUUAUUGUACGACUAAGAAAUAAUUAUGCAAAAGAAUACUUCUUAAUUCCAUGCAUGAUCAAUGCUUCACCACUUUACAACAUAAUCAUAAAGGUGGAAACAAAAGAUUGGAAACGAACCUCAUGGUUUUGCCUGAAAUUCUGUUUUUUACCACCGUCAUAUUUCAAUCAUAUUUUAGUUUUCUUUGUAAAAAACUACAAAGCAUUGACAAAAGAAGAUGAACAGCUGUGCAUAUCUUGCAAUUUUGGACAAUUUCUACUAAAUGAUUCAGGUAGCGAAAUUCUCGUCAUAUGCGCCACAAGAAAUUCCAUUGCUGUACAGGUGAGGUAUCGUAGUAAAACACUCGUUUGUUACAGUUCUGUUAAAAACAAACUGAUUGAUCUUGUUCAUUCAUUGAAUCUAAGAUAUCGUAUAAACAUAACUUAUAACAAACUAUUUAAAUGCUCAGAUGGAGAUUAUUCCAUGAAGGAGGGAAGAAUUGGUUAUGAUAUUGUAUUGCAGAAUAGGUACUUCUGUGAGGCACACAAUGGCGGGCAUGUUAGCAAGGAAGUAUACAACAGCUGGAUGACGGAAAAAGAGGUUAAAGAAGAAAAUACUCGUCGUUUACAUAGAAAGUCUGCGGAGGUGUCAUGUCCAGGUCCAGCUGCUAAUCCUGUACAACUUACAACUUACAACUCCCGUUAGUGCCGUGUGUCGCAUAG